RNAcentral lists this unclassified non-coding RNA (353 nucleotides) under soil metagenome. RNAcentral describes it as "partial contains 5.8S ribosomal RNA, internal transcribed spacer 2, and large subunit ribosomal RNA". The stretch from base 1 to 121 matches the Rfam family "5.8S ribosomal RNA", at positions 35 to 154 of the family's 154-position model. The record is from RNAcentral.
GAUGAAGAACGUAGCGAAAUGCGAUAAGUAAUGCGAAUUGCAGAAUUUCCGUGAGUCAUCGAAUCUUUGAACGCACAUUGCGCCCGCCAGUAUUCUGGCGGGCAUGCCUGUUCGAGCGUCAUUACAACCCUCAGGCCCCCGGGCCUGGCGUUGGGGAUCGGCGGAGCCCCCCGUGGGCACACGCCGUCCCCCAAAUGCAGUGGCGGUCCCGCCGCAGCUUCCAUCGCGUAGUAGCUAACACCUCGCGACUGGAGAGCGGCGCGGCCACGCCGUAAAACACCCAACUCUUCUGAAGUUGACCUCGAAUCAGGUAGGAAUACCCGCUGAACUUAAGCAUAUCAAUAAGCGGAGGA